AGUGAACGCUGGCGGUAGGCCUAACACAUGCAAGUCGAGCGGCAGCACAGUAAGAGCUUGCUCUUACGGGUGGCGAGUGGCGGACGGGUGAGGAAUACAUCGGAAUCUACUUUUUCGUGGGGGAUAACGUAGGGAAACUUACUCUAAUACCGCAUACGACCUACGGGUGAAAGCAGGGGAUCUUCGGACCUUGCGCGAUUGAAUGAGCCGAUGUCGGAUUAGCUAGUUGGCGGGGUAAAGGCCCACCAAGGCGACGAUCCGUAGCUGGUCUGAGAGGAUGAUCAGCGACACUGGAACUGAGACACGGUCCAGACUCCUGCGGGAGGAAGCAGUGGGGAAUAUGGAGCAAUGGGCGCAAGCCUGAUCCAGCCAUACCGCGUAGGUGAAGAAGGCCUUCGGGUUGUAAAGCCCUUUUGUUGGGAAAGAAAAGCAGCAGGUUAAUACCCCGCUGUUCUGACGGUACCCAAAUAAUAAGCACCGGCUAACUUCGUG
RNAcentral lists this ribosomal RNA (492 nucleotides) under uncultured bacterium. Its description in RNAcentral is "partial 16S ribosomal RNA". It matches the Rfam family "Bacterial small subunit ribosomal RNA", at positions 29 to 507 of the family's 1533-position model. The record is from RNAcentral.